GACGAAGGUGGCGAGCGUUGUUCGGAAUCACUGGGCAUAAAGCGCACGUAGGCGGUGUCGUAAGUCGGAUGUGAAAUCCCUCGGCCUAACCGAGGAACUGCGUCCGAUACUGCGAUGCUUGAGGACCAGAGGGGUGCAUGGAAUUUCCGGUGGAGCGGUGAAAUGCGUUGAUAUCGGAAGGAACACCGGUGGCGAAAGCGGCGCGCUGGACCUCUACUGACGCUGAGGCGCGAAAGCCAGGGGAGCAAACGGGAUUAGAUACCCUAGUAGU
Molecule: ribosomal RNA, 271 nt
Filed under: uncultured bacterium
Lineage: Bacteria
Description: partial 16S ribosomal RNA
Rfam family: Bacterial small subunit ribosomal RNA
Source: RNAcentral